UCUCCGUUGGUGAACCAGCGGAGGGAUCAUUACCGAGUUUACAACUCCCAAACCCGAUGUGAACUAUACCUGUCUACCGUUGCUUCGGCGGGUUCGCCCGCCGAGGGACCGACAAAUGAACUCUUGUAUUUCUAUCUUUAGCAUGUCUGAGUGGAAUCAUAAACAAAUGAAUCAAAACUUUCAACAACGGAUCUCUUGGUUCUG
This 204-nucleotide unclassified non-coding RNA is filed under the name plant metagenome. RNAcentral describes it as "partial contains small subunit ribosomal RNA, internal transcribed spacer 1, and 5.8S ribosomal RNA". The record is from RNAcentral.